UUGAACGCUGGCGGCAGGCCUAACACCUGCAAGUCGAACGGUAACAGAAAGCAGCUUGCUGCUUUGCUGACGAGUGGCGGACGGGUGAGUAAUGUCUGGGAAACUGCCUGAUGGAGGGGGAUAACUACUGGAAACGGUAGCUAAUACCGCAUAACGUCGCAAGACCAAAGAGGGGGACCUUCGGGCCUCUUGCCAUCGGAUGUGCCCAGAUGGGAUUAGCUAGUAGGUGGGGUAAAGGCUCACCUAGGCGACGAUCCCUAGCUGGUCUGAGAGGAUGACCAGCCACACUGGAACUGAGACACGGUCCAGACUCCUACGGGAGGCAGCAGUGGGGAAUAUUGCACAAUGGGCGCAAGCCUGAUGCAGCCAUGCCGCGUGUAUGAAGAAGGCCUUCGGGUUGUAAAGUACUUUCAGCGGGGAGGAAGGGAGUAAAGUUAAUACCUUUGCUCAUUGACGUUACCCGCAGAAGAAGCACCGGCUAACUCCGUG
RNAcentral lists this ribosomal RNA (489 nucleotides) under uncultured bacterium. RNAcentral's name for it is "partial 16S ribosomal RNA". It matches the Rfam family "Bacterial small subunit ribosomal RNA", at positions 30 to 507 of the family's 1533-position model. The record is from RNAcentral.